AAUACCGGAUAGUUCCUUGAACCGCAUGGUUCAAGGAUGAAAGACGGUUUCGGCUGUCACUUACAGAUGGACCCGCGGCGCAUUAGCUAGUUGGUGAGGUAACGGCUCACCAAGGCGACGAUGCGUAGCCGACCUGAGAGGGUGAUCGGCCACACUGGGACUGAGACACGGCCCAGACUCCUACGGGAGGCAGCAGUAGGGAAUCUUCCGCAAUGGACGAAAGUCUGACGGAGCAACGCCGCGUGAGUGAUGAAGGUUUUCGGAUCGUAAAGCUCUGUUGUUAGGGAAGAACAAGUGCAAGAGUAACUGCUUGCACCUUGACGGUACCUAACCAGAAAGCCACGGCUAACUACGUGCCAGCAGCCGCGGUAAUACGUAGGUGGCAAGCGUUGUCCGGAAUUAUUGGGCGUAAAGGGCUCGCAGGCGGUUUCUUAAGUCUGAUGUGAAAGCCCCCGGCUCAACCGGGGAGGGUCAUUGGAAACUGGGAAACUUGAGUGCAGAAGAGGAGAGUGGAAUUCCACGUGUAGCGGUGAAAUGCGUAGAGAUGUGGAGGAACACCAGUGGCGAAGGCGACUCUCUGGUCUGUAACUGACGCUGAGGAGCGAAAGCGUGGGGGAGCGAACAGGAUUAGAUACCCUGGUAGUCCACGCCGUAAACGAUGAGUGCUAAGUGUUAGGGGGUUUCCGCCCCUUAGUGCUGCAGCUAACGCAUUAAGCACUCCGCCUGGGGAGUACGGUCGCAAGACUGWAACUCAAAGGAAUUGACGGGGGCCCGCACAAGCGGUGGAGCAUGUGGUUUAAUUCGAAGCAACGCGAAGAACCUUACCAGGUCUUGACAUCCUCUGACAACCCUAGAGAUAGGGCUUUCCCUUCGGGGACAGAGUGACAGGUGGUGCAUGGUUGUYGUCAGCUCGUGUCGUGAGAUGUUGGGUUAAGUCCCGCAACGAGCGCAACCCUUGAUCUUAGUUGCCAGCAUUCAGUUGGGCACUCUAAGGUGACUGCCGGUGACAAACCGGAGGAAGGUGGGGAUGACGUCAAAUCAUCAUGCCCCUUAUGACCUGGGCUACACACGUGCUACAAUGGACAGAACAAAGGGCUGCGAGACCGCAAGGUUUAGCCAAUCCCACAAAUCUGUUCUCAGUUCGGAUCGCAGUCUGCAACUCGACUGCGUGAAGCUGGAAUCGCUAGUAAUCSYSGUUCUUCAUGCCGCGGUGAAUACGUUCCCGGGCCUUGUAC
Molecule: ribosomal RNA, 1235 nt
Filed under: Bacillus sp. (in: firmicutes)
Lineage: Bacteria; Bacillati; Bacillota; Bacilli; Caryophanales; Bacillaceae
Description: bacterial SSU rRNA
Rfam family: Bacterial small subunit ribosomal RNA
Source: RNAcentral